Molecule: ribosomal RNA, 116 nt
Filed under: Klebsiella pneumoniae
Lineage: Bacteria; Pseudomonadati; Pseudomonadota; Gammaproteobacteria; Enterobacterales; Enterobacteriaceae
Source: RNAcentral
CCUGGCGGCACUAGCGCGGUGGUCCCACCUGACCCCAUGCCGAACUCAGAAGUGAAACGCCGUAGCGCCGAUGGUAAUGUGGGGUCUCCCCAUGUGAGAGUAGGGAACUGCCAGGC